UACAGAGGGUGCGAGCGUUAUUCGGAAUUACUGGGCGUAAAGCGCACGUAGGUGGCGACGUAAGUCGGGUGUGAAAGCCCCGGGCUCAACCUGGGAAUUGCAUUCGAGACUGCAUUGCUGGAGUACGGAAGAGGAAGGCGGAAUUCACGGUGUAGCGGUGAAAUGCGUAGAUAUCGGGAGGAACAUCAGUGGCGAAGGCGGCCUUCUGGUCCAGUACUGACACUCAAGUGCGAAAGCGUGGGGAGCAAACAGG
Molecule: ribosomal RNA, 253 nt
Filed under: uncultured bacterium
Lineage: Bacteria
Description: partial 16S ribosomal RNA
Rfam family: Bacterial small subunit ribosomal RNA
Source: RNAcentral